RNAcentral lists this ribosomal RNA (495 nucleotides) under uncultured bacterium. Its description in RNAcentral is "partial 16S ribosomal RNA". It matches the Rfam family "Bacterial small subunit ribosomal RNA", at positions 28 to 507 of the family's 1533-position model. The record is from RNAcentral.
GACGAACGCUGGCGGCGUGCCUAAUACAUGCAAGUAGAACGCUGAAGGAGGAGCUUGCUUCUCUGGAUGAGUUGCGAACGGGUGAGUAACGCGUAGGUAACCUGCCUGGUAGCGGGGGAUAACUAUUGGAAACGAUAGCUAAUACCGCAUAAGAGUAGAUGUUGCAUGACAUUUGCUUAAAAGGUGCAAUUGCAUCACUACCAGAUGGACCUGCGUUGUAUUAGCUAGUUGGUGGGGUAACGGCUCACCAAGGCGACGAUACAUAGCCGACCUGAGAGGGUGAUCGGCCACACUGGGACUGAGACACGGCCCAGACUCCUACGGGAGGCAGCAGUAGGGAAUCUUCGGCAAUGGACGGAAGUCUGACCGAGCAACGCCGCGUGAGUGAAGAAGGUUUUCGGAUCGUAAAGCUCUGUUGUAAGAGAAGAACAAGUGUGAGAGUGGAAAGUUCACACUGUGACGGUAUCUUACCAGAAAGGGACGGCUAACUACGUG